AUUGAACGCUGGCGGCAUGCCUUACACAUGCAAGUCGAACGGUAACAGGUUAAGCUGACGAGUGGCGAACGGGUGAGUAAUAUAUCGGAACGUGCCCAGUCGUGGGGAUAACGUAGCGAAAGCUACGCUAAUACCGCAUACGAUCUACGGAUGAAAGCGGGGGAUCGCAAGACCUCGCGCGAUUGGAGCGGCCGAUAUCAGAUUAGGUUGUUGGUGAGGUAAAAGCUCACCAAGCCUGCGAUCUGUAGCUGGUCUGAGAGGACGACCAGCCACACUGGAACUGAGAAACGGUCCAGACUCCUACGGGAGGCAGCAGUGGGGAAUUUUGGACAAUGGACGCAAGUCUGAUCCAGCAAUGCCGCGUGCAGGACGAAGGCCUUCGGGUUGUAAACUGCUUUUGUACGGAACGAAACGGUGAGCUCUAAUACAGUUUGCUAAUGACGGUACCGUAAGAAUAAGCACCGGCUAACUACGUGCCAGCAGCCGCAGUAA
Molecule: ribosomal RNA, 492 nt
Filed under: uncultured bacterium
Lineage: Bacteria
Description: partial 16S ribosomal RNA
Rfam family: Bacterial small subunit ribosomal RNA
Source: RNAcentral